This is a long non-coding RNA of Oryzias melastigma (Indian medaka), 1377 nucleotides long. RefSeq lists it as uncharacterized. Lineage: Eukaryota; Metazoa; Chordata; Actinopteri; Beloniformes; Adrianichthyidae. The transcript has 4 exons. The record is from RefSeq and is a predicted model, not a curated record.
UCUAAAAACACUUGGGUUAUUUCUUUAACCCAAUUCUUUGAUUAUUCAUGUUGGGUUAUAAUUUUGGGUUACCUUUUUGGAGGGUUACUCAUUUUCUGGGUUAUUGUGGCUUAAUUUCAACCCAAUUCAUGCUUUAUCCUUAACCAAAAUUAUUGAGUUAUUUUUUGACCCAUUAAUUAGGUUAAGUAGAUUAUGUGUUUAUAUGAUAACUAUAUGAUUAAGGCCUAUUAAAAGUUUUUUUUUAUUAAAAUUUACAUUUUUAUAUUUGAAAACAUGAAAAUGUUAGAGGAUUGAAUCAAGGGAAAUAAAAAAGAGAAAAUUAAGGAAAAUUUACAAAAUGUGCAAUAGAAAUACAAACAUAAAAAACACACACAAUACACGGUAAAUUUCCCAGUGCAAUAUAUUCGUAGUCAAACUGUUCUAACUCUUUCAGAGCAAGUGUAAGGCCCCAAUCUCAUUUUCAAGGUGUUGGUAUUAACAGCUGUACAUUUUGCAGUGUUAAAUAUGUUCAUUUACUCUUUUAGAGUUGUUUUAACAAAAUAAUGUGCAAAAUGCCACCUAGUGGUGGUGAAUAAAUCUGGUGUGGAGAGACAUAGAAAGCUCCGCCCACCUCUUCACAUUUGAACCAAACCAUACCAGGAGUACGUGACCAACGUCCCUUCAAGACUAUGGUCAUCACCACCCAGGCAGGUGAAAGAAAUCUACGCCGGGGGAUUUGUGGUCUUCUUUUCAAUCUGAGUGACCUUUCAGGGAGCGUUCAUUUCUCCAGGACCGGUCAUGACCGUUACUGAUGGUGAGAGUGGCACAAGCUACCUGGCAUGGAGGAUUAAAAACUACUCAGCAAUCUGAAGCAGGAUGCAGACGAGCAUCACACAGAGGUUGGAACAAACAUCGCGGAAUACCUCCAGGGGGUGGAGUCCAGGCCCUAUCCAUCGGUUCUGGCCCUUGGACAAGUGAUGCAAAAUUCUUUACAAGCUUUUGCUGUGAUGGCUGGUCAGGUAUACCCUGAAGAUGCACUGGGGCAGUUGGUGUCUGCUUCAAGACAUUUUAUGUGUUUGAUAUCAACUACCCCAUGCAGUGUGCCUCUUCAUGGGAGUUCCUCCAGAAAGUGGUUUAUGACAUGGAGGGACCAGAAUCUAACGAAGUUAAGUUUUUAAAGACUGUCUUAAAGAAUGUGAAAGUGUUUUAAAAAAAAAUCUGAAUUCAUAAUAGUUUAUGGAAAAAAAACAUUCAUUUGUUACAGAUGCUUUUUCUUCUACUUGCAGAAAAAUUGCUAACUACUACUUGUUACUGCUGCUUUUUUAAGAAAGCAUUUGUCUUCUGUAUUUUAUUGGUACCCCUUCUUGGAUUUUAUUCUAAAUAAAUAUUUGUCAUUAA